GAAGCGUCUGGAAAGGCGCGCGAUACAGGGUGACAGCCCCGUACACAAAAGCGCAUGUGCUGUGAGCUCGAUGAGUAGGGCGGGACACGUGAUAUCCUGUCUGAAUAUGGGGGGACCAUCCUCCAAGGCUAAAUACUCCUGACUGACCGAUAGUGAACCAGUACCGUGAGGGAAAGGCGAAAAGAACCCCGGCGAGGGGAGUGAAAAAGAACCUGAAACCGUGUACGUACAAGCAGUGGGAGCACCCUUCGGGGUGUGACUGCGUACCUUUUGUAUAAUGGGUCAGCGACUUAUAUUCUGUAGCAAGGUUAACCGAAUAGGGGAGCCGGAGGGAAACCGAGUCUUAACCGGGCGUUAAGUUGCAGGGUAUAGACCCGAAACCCGGUGAUCUAGCCAUGGGCAGGUUGAAGGUUGGGUAACACUAACUGGAGGACCGAACCGACUAAUGUUGAAAAAUUAGCGGAUGACCUGUGGCUGGGGGUGAAAGGCCAAUCAAACCGGGAGAUAGCUGGUUCUCCCCGAAAGCUAUUUAGGUAGCGCCUCGUGAAUUCAUCUCCGGGGGUAGAGCACUGUUUCGGCUAGGGGGCCAUCCCGGCUUACCAACCCGAUGCAAACUGCGAAUACCGGAGAAUGUUAUCACGGGAGACACACGGCGGGUGCUAACGUCCGUCGUGAAGAGGGAAACAACCCAGACCGCCAGCUAAGGUCCCAAAGUCAUGGUUAAGUGGGAAACGAUGUGGGAAGGCCCAGACAGCCAGGAUGUUGGCUUAGAAGCAGCCAUCAUUUAAAGAAAGCGUAAUAGCUCACUGGUCGAGUCGGCCUGCGCGGAAGAUGUAACGGGGCUAAACCAU
Molecule: ribosomal RNA, 851 nt
Filed under: Salmonella enterica
Lineage: Bacteria; Pseudomonadati; Pseudomonadota; Gammaproteobacteria; Enterobacterales; Enterobacteriaceae
Description: partial 23S ribosomal RNA
Rfam family: Bacterial large subunit ribosomal RNA
Source: RNAcentral